This is a long non-coding RNA of Daphnia carinata, 341 nucleotides long. RefSeq lists it as uncharacterized. NCBI's taxonomy places the organism in Eukaryota, Metazoa, Arthropoda, Branchiopoda, Diplostraca, Daphniidae. The record is from RefSeq and is a predicted model, not a curated record. The transcript is spliced from 3 exons.
CAAUUAAAUUAUGACAAGUAAUGUGUGAAUUUCGGUUAACAAUACUUUUUAACUUCUAAAUGUUUUGAAAGAUAGUUUAUCAAAAUUUUAUGCCAAGAAGGACAUAAGGAAAUUGGUGAUGGACAUCUGUGAUUUUGGUUGAAGCGAACUUGGCGAAUUCAAAUGUCAACGUCUUCUCAUCUGGUUUGGCAACCUGUCAGGAAACGGAGCUACGGUCUGCGGAUGCUAACAACCUGUCACUCUUCAUUUUUCUGUGCGAUCAUUUCCGACUGGCAUAGAACUGAGUGAUUUCCAACGACAACUGCAGCGAUCAUAACACAUUUGAAAAGUUAUUAAAACAU